GCCCUGUCUGUCUCGCAACCCUUCCUUUUUCUAUCGCAGUAGCAGCCAUGAGCAUGCUCAGGCUUCAAAAGAGGCUUGCCUCCAGCGUCCUGCGCUGUGGCAAGAAGAAGGUAUGGCUGGACCCCAACGAGACCAAUGAGAUUGCUAACGCCAACUCCCGCCAGCAGAUCCGUAAACUGGUAAAGGAUGGUCUUAUCAUCCGCAAGCCUGUCACGGUGCACUCUCGCGCCCGCUGCCGCAAGAACAC
Oncorhynchus masou masou (cherry salmon) is the source of this 247-nucleotide long non-coding RNA. RefSeq lists it as uncharacterized. The record is from RefSeq and is a predicted model, not a curated record. The transcript has 3 exons. Lineage: Eukaryota; Metazoa; Chordata; Actinopteri; Salmoniformes; Salmonidae.